RNAcentral lists this ribosomal RNA (493 nucleotides) under uncultured bacterium. RNAcentral's name for it is "bacterial SSU rRNA". It matches the Rfam family "Bacterial small subunit ribosomal RNA", at positions 30 to 507 of the family's 1533-position model. The record is from RNAcentral.
UGAACGCUAGCGGCAGGUUAAUACAUGCAAGUCGAGGGGCAUCAAGGUACACGAAAGUGUAUUGUUGGCGACCGGCGGACGGGUGAGUAAUAGGUAGGUAACCUACCUCAUACUGAGGCAUAGCUGGGAGAAAUUCCAGGUAAUUCCUCAUGAGGUUAUAUGACACAUGUGAUAUAAUCAAAGGUAUCGCAAGGUACUGGUAUGAGAUGGGCUUACUGACCAUUAGCUAGUUGGUGAGAUAAGAGCUCACCAAGGCGAAGAUGGUUAGGGGUUUUGAGAGAGAGAUCCCCCACAUUGGAACUGAGAUACGGUCCAGACUCCUACGGGAGGCAGCAGUAGGGAAUAUUGGGCAAUGGGCGGAAGCCUGACCCAGCCAUGCCGCGUGAAGGAAGACGGCCUUAUGGGUUGUAAACUUCUUUACUAUGCGACUAACUAGAUUUACGAGAUAAUUCUAUAGAAUGUAGCAUAGCAAAAAGCACCGGCUAACUCCGUG